This is a long non-coding RNA of Hydractinia symbiolongicarpus, 1831 nucleotides long. RefSeq lists it as uncharacterized. The transcript has 4 exons. The record is from RefSeq and is a predicted model, not a curated record. NCBI's taxonomy places the organism in Eukaryota, Metazoa, Cnidaria, Hydrozoa, Anthoathecata, Hydractiniidae.
AAGAACUGAAUGACAACUCAACAGUCUUUACAGCAACACAAAUAAACUCUGAUACCAACGCAUAAGAGAUUGUGUCACAAAGAAACAAUAACAACCAAACUCUAGUCGAGUUCACUCAUUUCUCAUUGCUUCUCUGUUCUACCCUCUCUACAUUAUAUAGCACGUUUUUCCAGUUUCUGACACUAAAGUGGGGACUUAGGAAAAAAAAUCGAUUUUUUUUAAAGUUAACCGGAAUGUGCCGUAACGCAUGCGCGUUUGUUACUGAUAGGCCCAGCAACAUUCCGAACAUAUUUUUAUGACGGUUAAGCCUCAUGGGACCUGAAAAUAACAAAAUACGGCAUAACACAUAAACGGCUUGAGAAAUUGAAGAAGUGAGAGGGUACGCCACACCACCAAAAUUUUUUUUUUAAAAAAAGACCCACAACCGUAUCCAAAGCAGUAGCAUUACCCCUAGGCCCCAGCCUAGGCUUUACCUUAACCCUGAACAUAGCCCUAGUCCGUAAUUCUUGCUGUAAUCCAUACACUUGUAAUCUAUACAUACAGUUGUAAUCGAUACAGUUGUAAUCCAUACACCUUUAAUCCAUACACUUUUAAUCCAUACAUCUGUGUCUCCAAAUAUUAAACCGAGGUGAUAAAGAUGAAUGGUACAGCACGCACGCAUCACCUUUUUUAAAAAAAAAACCCACAACCGUAUCCAAAGCAGUAGCAUUACCCCUAGGCCCCAGCCUAGGCUUUACCUUAACCCUGAACAUAGCCCUAGUCCGUAAUUCUUGCUGUAAUCCAUACACUUGUAAUCUAUACAUACAGUUGUAAUCGAUACAGUUGUAAUCCAUACACCUUUAAUCCAUACACUUUUAAUCCAUACAUCUGUGUCUCCAAAUAUUAAACCGAGGUGAUAAAGAUGAAUGGUACAGCACGCACGCAUCACCUUUUUUAAAAAAAAAACCCACAACCGUAUCCAAAGCAGUAGCAUUACCCCUAGGCCCCAGCCUAGGCUUUACCUUAACCCUGAACAUAGCCCUAGUCCGUAAUUCUUGCUGUAAUCCAUACACUUGUAAUCUAUACAUACAGUUGUAAUCGAUACAGUUGUAAUCCAUACACCUUUAAUCCAUACACUUUUAAUCCAUACAUCUGUGUCUCCAAAUAUUAAACCGAGGUGAUAAAGAUGAAUGGUACAGCACGCACGCAUCACCUUUUUUAAAAAAAAAACCCACAACCGUAUCCAAAGCAGUAGCAUUACCCCUAGGCCCCAGCCUAGGCUUUACCUUAACCCUGAACAUAGCCCUAGUCCGUAAUUCUUGCUGUAAUCCAUACACUUGUAAUCUAUACAUACAGUUGUAAUCGAUACAGUUGUAAUCCAUACACCUUUAAUCCAUACACUUUUAAUCCAUACAUCUGUGUCUCCAAAUAUUAAACCGAGGUGAUAAAGAUGAAUGGUACAGCACGCACGCAUCACCUUUUUUAAAAAAAAAGUUCAGGUAAGCACAAGAUAACUGGUACUCCACGGUACAAAGCAGUUGGUUAAAAAAAGGACUUGUCACAAAGUGACAAAUCUGUCGAACAGAGGCUUAAUCUCAGAAGAUCGUAGCACAAAGGCUACUCUACUUUUUACAAUACCACGUUCUUGUUUAAGUCGUCUGCAUAGGAUUUAUCUCUGGAAAUUUUAGAUUUUGAUAGUUGCAGCACCUCGACGGUUUUUCUCCGACUCAGUGCAUUGGGACUUAGGAACGACAGAAGCCGUUCUAUUCUUGUUCGCCUAAGAUUAUCCAGAGGUAAUUAUCAUUGCUUUCUAGCACGGAUUCUGACUUAGAGGCGUUCAGUCAUAAUCCAA